CCUACGGGAGGCAGCAGUAGGGAAUCUUUCACAAUGGGCGAAAGCCUGAUGGAGCAACGCCGCGUGCAGGAUGAAGGCCUUCGGGUUGUAAACUGCUUUUAUAAGCGAGAAAUAUGAUGGUAACUUAUGAAUAAGGAUCGGCUAACUACGUGCCAGCAGCCGCGGUCAUACGUAGGAGCCGAGCAUUAUCCGGAGUGACUGGGUGUAAAGAGUUGCGUAGGUGGCAUAAUAAGUAGCUAGUGAAAUCGGGUGGCUCAACCAUUCAGACUAUUAGCUAAACUGUUAAGCUCGAGACCGUUAGGGGUAGCUGGAAUUUCUAGUGUAGGGGUGAAAUCCGUAGAUAUUAGAAGGAACACCAAUGGCGUAGGCAGGUUACUGGGCCGGUUCUGACACUAAGGCACGAAAGCGUAGGGAGCAAACGGGAUUAGAUACCCUAGUAGUC
RNAcentral lists this ribosomal RNA (442 nucleotides) under uncultured bacterium. RNAcentral's name for it is "partial 16S ribosomal RNA". It matches the Rfam family "Bacterial small subunit ribosomal RNA", at positions 338 to 795 of the family's 1533-position model. The record is from RNAcentral.